This 94-nucleotide microRNA precursor is filed under the name Drosophila busckii. RNAcentral describes it as "mir-958 microRNA precursor family". Lineage: Eukaryota; Metazoa; Arthropoda; Insecta; Diptera; Drosophilidae. The record is from Rfam by way of RNAcentral.
CGGUGUAGUUUGGCAAGUAGAAUAGCAGGCUUAUCACAUGUAACACUCGACUCUGUGUGAGAUUCUUCUAUUCUACUUUCGAUACGAGACACCA